CCUACGGGAGGCAGCAGUGGGGAAUAUUGCGCAAUGGGCGAAAGCCUGACGCAGCGACGCCGCGUGAGGGAUGAAGGUCUUCUGAUCGUUAACCUCUGUCAGCAGGGAAGAACGGUCACUGUGCUAAUCAGCAGUGACUUGACGGUACCUGCAAAGGAAGCACCGGCUAACUCCGUGCCCGCAGCCGCGGUAAUACGGAGGGUGCGAGCGUUAAUCGGAUUUAUUGGGUUUAAAGGGUGCGCAGGCGGAGGCACAAGUCAGCGGUAAAAUCGCGGGGCUCAACCCCGCUCCGCCGUUGAAACUGUGUCCCUUGAGUGCGCGAAGGGUAGGCGGAAUGCGUGGUGUAGCGGUGAAAUGCAUAGAUAUCACGCAGAACUCCGAUCGCGAAGGCAGCCUACCGGCGCGCAACUGACGCUCAUGCACGAAAGCGUGGGUAUCGAACAGGAUUAGAUACCCCAGUAGUC
Molecule: ribosomal RNA, 464 nt
Filed under: uncultured bacterium
Lineage: Bacteria
Description: partial 16S ribosomal RNA
Rfam family: Bacterial small subunit ribosomal RNA
Source: RNAcentral